GUGUCUCCUGCCUUCACCCUCAGUCAGCUGGGAUAAACUCUAGCCCCCCAUGACCCUAAUGAGGAUGUGUAAAUAAUGGAUCGAUGGAAGUGCCAUUAUUUUGUAAUAACUAUGCUGAUAUUUUUGUAUGUUUGCUCUUCCUAAAAUCUAACCAUGAUCCAAAAUCCAAAACUCUAAAUCAGGGUUUUUUCAGGACAAACUGUCAUUUAAGCGGCACAGACACAUUCUAAAAAACUCCUUUCAGUGAAACCCAGAUUUUUUUAAAAAACUUGUGAACAUUUCUAUAUAGUGUUUUGUAAAUUCAAGAAGAUGUAUCAUGAGUGAAAUACACUACUGUGACAAAGUUCAGACAAUUUCAUGUUUUCCAUGAAAACUCACACUUUUAUUCAUGUGCUAAAAUAAUUGCUCAAGGGUUUUCUAAUCAUCAAUGAGCCUUUCAACACCAUUAGCUAACACAAUGUAGCAUUAGAACACAGGAGUGAUGGUUGCUGGAAAUGUUCCUCUGUACCUCUAUGGAGAUAUUCCAUUAAAAAUUUCCAGCUAGAAUAGUCAUUUACACAUUAACAAUGUCUAGGCUGGAUUUCUGAUUUAUUUGAUGUUGUCUUCAUUGAAAGAAACUGCUUUUCUUUCAAAAAUAAGGACAUUUCUAAGUGAGCCCAAACUUUUGAACGGUACUGUAAUCAUUCAGUGCCUGUGGUGUCUGACACCAUGAGUUGGCAGCAGAUCUUUGGAAUUUGCAAGACAGGCCAACACUUUUGGCUCUGUGUCGUGUUCCUUAAGAGCAGUGGGCAGUACUUAACAACUCAUCAUCUCCAUGAGUGACUGAUCAAUAGAAAAGUCAAAUGGAGACAUCCAUCCAUCCAUUAUCACUACUUAAUCCUCAUUAGGGUCAUGGGGGGCUGGAGUCUAUCCCAGCUGAUUGAGGGUGAAGGUAGGAGACACCUGGACAGGUCACCAGUCUAUCACAGGGCUACACAUAGAGACAAACAAUCACACUCACAUUCACACCUAUGGACAAUUUAGAGUUACCAAUUAACCUCAGCAUGUUUUUGGACUGUGGGAGGAAGCCAACGUGCACAGGGAGAACAUGCAAACUCCAUGCAGAAAGAUCCCGGAAAGGCUGGGAUGCGAACCGAGGAUCUUCUAGCUGCAGUAUUAACCACUGAGCCACUGUGCAGCCUUCAAAUAGAGACACUGUAGAUGUUUUUAGUCGGGCUUUGACUUCAAUGCGUUGAUUUCGAUGAAUUAAUUACAGAAGAAAAUAACGCAUUUAAUGGCACCUUUCUCUGUUCCCUCAUUUCUGGCACACCGGUAAAACUGAUGCACACUCCAGGCCAGUAGGUGGCGAUAAUGAACCUAAAGUCUGUUUUCCAGCGUGAAGAAGAUACACAGGACGCAUUGGGUGACGUCAGCACACGAGAUAGUUUGGUGAUGGAAGACAAGACCGCAUUGAGCUUGUUGGGAGGAAACAAUCUUCCUGAUGGCAGCUUGGAUAAAAGCCUGGUUGUGUGCAAAUUGUGCAACAAAGAGUUGUCUGAUCACCGCAGCUAAUGGUAUCACCCCAAUGUAAAACACGUUGCUGUUAGCACCAGAGCUAACGUUAGCUACGACCAUCCUGGUACCAGCUAAUGGUGUAGCCAUCCCAUAAUAGAUCACUUUUCAAUACACUGAAAGUUCUUGAGUUUACAAAAAGUCUUAAAAUGUUGAACAUAAUUUCUAUAAUUGUACUUUGAGUUUGCAGUAAUCUGUGAAUGUAGCAGACAGAUGAAAAAUGCAGAUAAAUAGAAAUGAAACGUAAACAGUUUUGUUGUUUAAGUUCAUGUAAAUGUCUAAUCAUCCAUUCAGUCGUCAACCAAAUUUUACUACGUCUCACUACUAAUUUUAGGAAGAUUUCAGAUCAGCCAUAGUUCAGGCGGAGGCUGAACUGCAGGUCACACUCCCAGUUUGCAGCAGAAAGCCAGAGCAAUAUUUGAUGUGAAAAAGUUAAAAGCCAUAAUUACAGUUAUUAAAGCGAGUAGUAGGUAGCCAUGGCAAUGAGAGCCUUUGGCUUUUUCACUUGGCAGUUUCUUUGCUUUUAUCUUACCAUGAGUCCAAUUAGCACCUUCCUUAGCAGGAGAUAUUUUCAGAAAGGCUUAGUGGAUCCUAAUGAAAGCAUAUGUUGUGUUUUCUGUCGUUCCUAAGUGACGAGGACACGUCACAGAGGGAAGUGUUGAAAUCACCAGUUUUAAGCAAAGCGCUGCUUAUGACAGGUUCAGUUUAUGAAGACGGUUCAUGUCAGAUGUUUUUUUUUCUCUAACAUUAAUAAUCCCCUUAAUGUUUAAUAUUCCAUGAUUUAAGAAACACGUAACAUGUAAUAAUUACUACGUUAAUGGCCUAACAUUAAAAUAAAUCUUUUGAAAAUGUAUUAACUGCAGUCAAAAAUACAAUAAUACAUAAAUAAGACUGUAUUUCUUCUCUUAUAUAUCAGAUAGCCUAGAACUAGACAGAAGAUGACUGUUCCUUUAGUAUUAUGAAGCUCUACAAGGCUGCUGGAUGCAAAACAGAGUCGAAACUUUCACAUAAAACAGUUAUUUGUUGAGGACAGCCGAUGGAUAAAAGACUGGAUUCUUCUCAGUAAUGUACAAAGUUAAAGACAUUUACUGGAAGAAAUGUCAAUUUUAUAUUGAUAUUUUCCCCUUAGUUCAUUAUGUACAUAAUAUUUUUCAGUGUUUUGGAGUUAAGUGCCAUUAUAGUGCCAGUCCAGUUAUUUAAAUACAGUAUAAAGUGAGGACUGAAUCAUUAUUCCUUGAGAAAUGUUUUUUAAAAAAUCCAGCAAAUUCAUUUGACAGUGCAACAUCCAACAGAGAUGCUGUAUGUUUACAUAUCUAGGCAAAUAGACAGUAUUCUAAAUAAAGAUUCUGUUCAACCACGCUUCAUUUUUCUGACAGCAAUGCUUCAGGCACAUUUCUGAAAGACUAAAUAAAACUAGAUGAGAAGAACUAUAAAAUUAGCCUCUCCUACUGUGUCUGUAAUCUGUGACACUGGGUGCUGAUAUUGUUCUAAUUAUUAUAGUAAAGCCCUGACACCAAACAAAGCUGUGUGGAAACCAGUUAAUGUUCCUCAACAUCCCUGAGUGUGAAGGCUGUGGUUGGACCAUUGUGUAUCACUGUGAAUACAAGCUGUGAGGGCCUAAAUUACUGUAAAAUUGCCAUUUAAAGUACAAUCAGUGUGCAGGGAAACAAAUUCCAUUGUCGCUGAAUGUUUAACACAUGUUGUGAGAGCCCAGUUAUAUUUAAAAUAUUUCUUCAUUAAAAAAAAAAAAAACAUUAAAACAUACAAUCCAGAUAAUAUCACGUUUCUUUCUAAAGAAACAUCAUCCUGCUGCAAAUUGGUGGUAUAUAUGUCAUUUUUAGGAGACGGUAUGCAGAAACAUGCAGCCUCUUACCCUAGAAAUGUAUUUAAAAGCUCAUAAGGGUCAUUCCAGAAUUUGGAGGACAUUUUGGCUUCAAAUUUAAAAAAAAAUAAACCUUCUCUUUUACAGUUUUCUGCUCCAUAUUCAUCAAUAAUAAGUAAUAAACUAUCAAAGGCUUGAUUGGCUCAGCUUACACAUCAAUGGUACCAUUUUUAUUCCUUGUUUUAUUUGUUGUUUGCUAACCCUACUCUAAUCACAGAAACAGGGUUGCUAAUCCAUGCUAAUGUUAGCUUUUUCUCAGCAGUAGAAGCUAGAUAUUUAGCUAGAUGUUACUGCUGACCAAGAGGACAAACUGACUGAUGGAAAACAGUCAGAAGAAUUAAUCUGAUCCUGAUAAUAUGAGGUAGAGUGAAACAUUCAAUCAAGGCUGAGAAUGUUAUGAAAAUAUGAAAAAUAAAAGAGAAGACAUAGUUUGGCUCUACCCAUUCUUUUGGAAAACUGUUUGAUGAUGUUGAUGACAAAAACAAGACAUAAAACGACAAAAACAAGACAUAAAACAAUAAAAACAAGGCAUAAAAUGACAAAAACAAGACACAACAAUAAAAAUGAGUCACAAAACAACAAAAACGACAUAAAAAUGACAAAAACGACACAAAAUGACAAAAACAAGACAAAAAAUGACAAAAAUAAGACAAAACGACAAAUGCAAGACAUAAAAUAAAAUGAGACACAAAAAUGACAUAAAAAUGGCAAAAACAAGACAAAAAAGGCCAAAAAAGACAUAAAAUGAGAAAAACAAGAAAGAAAGUGACAAAAACAAGACACAAAACAACAAAAACAAGACAAAAUGACAAAAACAAGACAUAAAACGACAAAAACAAGAAAUAAAAUGACAAAAACGACACAAAAUGACAAAAACAAGAAAUAAAAUGGCAAUAACAAGACAUAAAACAACAAAAGAAGACACAAAAUGACAAAAACAAGACAUAAAAUAACAAAAAUAAGACACAAAACGACAAAUAUGAGACAUAAAAUGACAAAAAUACACAAAAUGACAUAUACAAGUAACAAAACAAAAAAAACAAGACACAAAACAACAAAAAUGACAUAAAAAUGACAUAAACAAGACAUAAAUUGACAAAAACAAGACAUAAAAUAACAAAAACAAGACACAAAAUGACAAAAAGAAGACACAAAACGACAAAAACGAGACAGAAAAUGACAAAAACGAGACAGAAACAGAAUACACGGAACAACCUGAAUGUUACUUUGAAGUGUAUUGACACCUUGAGUCCACACUAUUUUUCAUUGACUUUCUUUAGUCACUAACUGUCUGGGCAGGUCCUGUAAGAGCGGCUUCAUCUCAGCGCCGACAAACAGAACUGUUCAUGAAAAGAGAUGAAAAAGUUCGCUGGAGCUGCAGGGUUGCUGGUGCUUCUCUUGUGGUUUCCAGUGACCCCCUUUAUGGAAUCGGCUCACAUCAAACAUCCUGGUUAGCAGGGCUCUGGAGUCGUUCUACAAAAUAAAAAGAUCUGUAUUUUAAAGAUCACAACCAUUUAAACCUCCAUCUUGUGGAGUUUGAAAAGCCUUCAAGGUCCAAGUUUAUGUUAAUUAACCCGUCAAGGAUUUACGGAGCCCCUAUGGUGGCAUGGUAAAAAAAAUAAUAAAUCAUGGCCACAAUAUAGCUAUAGCGUGCUCACGAAAUACUAAUUCGUUCACACGAAAUACUAAUUCGUUCGCACGAAAUACUAAUUUGUGACCACGAAGUAGGUAUAAUGUGCGAACGAAAUACUACCUAAUACUAUUAAUAUCAUUCCUGGACAGCUGAGUAAGCAAAUCGAGCGCACCUUCUCUAGGGUCUAAGGUGGAGGCAUUAGAGGAGCAAAAGCGACACGAUGGACAGGGACAGUGUGAUAGAAUUUUAUCUUAGGCUGGGAAUGAGCGACAAAGACAUUCUGAAAAGCCUGGCAUUGCAAGGGACCAUCAUUACUGAGAGACAUUUAAACAGGAUAUUGAGAGUAGGGUUGCCUCCCGUCCCUUAAAAUACGGAAACGUCCUUUAUUUGACAAUUAAUCGUUGCGUCCCGUAUUGAAUCAAUACGGGACGCAAGUUGUUCCGUAUUUUCAUAACUGCCCCAUACACGUCUGUCACACACUCAUCAAAACUGCAUAAUGAAUGAAAUAAAACACAGGCAAUAUUAAGGGCAGCCAAUUUCAUCUUCGUAGGACCCAUGUAGCGAGGACCCGAUGCCAGGUCCAGUGGACAGACUUCAGACGUCUCUGUGUGUCCGGUCCUGUCCGGUCCUGUCUCUGGUUGCCAGGUUACAGACGCUGCUGCACCCGCACGUUUAAAAAUGUCUACACCUGAAACUCCACCACGUCUAAAGAAGCAAAAACGUUUGCAAAUGUACAGACUGGAGUGGGAAGAGUGGAACCCCUGGCAAUGGGUACAAGACAAACUGUGUUUUCUGUUGCUCAUGGACUGGCUGAAGUAAGGCAGCAUCAGGAGACAAACAUGGAGGAAAUAUGAGAACAGAGAGAACCCAACCAGCAGGUCACAGUUUAUCAUCAUCUAAUCAUCUCCUGAAGUCCAUAUGGUCCCUCUCUAUCUCCCCACACAUCCACCAACCACUGGAACACAUCUCCAAAGUUCUGCCGGGCCAGCUCAGCUUCCCCUCAGAAGAAGUGGCGCCACCUGCCAGAUGAAGGAGCCUUUUGAGAGGCAGCUGGCAUCGUGAUUGGACUGUACUUUGGUCUGUUCCAAUCCAGCUUCAGCUCCAGAGACGGCAGGCGGGACGAGUCAACGGAGGCCGGGUGGACGAAGGCUUGCAGCUGAGUACAAUACAGAAAACAACAGAGGAGGAGUGCAGUGGCUCAGGGCCAGAACAAACACAGUAGCAUCGUAUGUCUCUGAGCAAACAUCAUAGUAUAGCCUUUGGUAUGAAAAAAAUGCCAUCAUAUACAUCGUAUAUUGUACAAAUAACAAGUCAAAGGAAAGAGACAUACAUUGUAGAAUUGUAGUAAUUGUGGGCUGACUGAUUUACUGAUAAUCAGUAUUUUAUUUUUUACUGAUUGAUGGUAAUAAAUCAAUUUAAAAAUGGCGCUA
Amphiprion ocellaris (clown anemonefish) is the source of this 6496-nucleotide long non-coding RNA. RefSeq lists it as uncharacterized. The transcript is spliced from 2 exons. The record is from RefSeq and is a predicted model, not a curated record. NCBI's taxonomy places the organism in Eukaryota, Metazoa, Chordata, Actinopteri, Pomacentridae.